UACGAGGGGGGCUAGCGUUGCUCGGAAUUACUGGGCGUAAAGGGAGCGUAGGCGGAUAGGUUAGUCAGAGGUGAAAGCCCAGGGCUCAACCUUGGAAUUGCCUUUGAUACUGGCUAUCUUGAGUACGGAAGAGGUAUGUGGAACUCCGAGUGUAGAGGUGAAAUUCGUAGAUAUUCGGAAGAACACCAGUGGCGAAGGCGACAUACUGGUCCGUUACUGACGCUGAGGCUCGAAAGCGUGGGGAGCAAACAGG
This 253-nucleotide ribosomal RNA is filed under the name uncultured bacterium. RNAcentral describes it as "partial 16S ribosomal RNA". It matches the Rfam family "Bacterial small subunit ribosomal RNA", at positions 524 to 776 of the family's 1533-position model. The record is from RNAcentral.